AAUUUGACUAAAAUGCUAGAAUUGUGAAGAUUUCAGUAAUUUAGCAUGACUUACUGGUGCUAGUACCCGAUAUAUGUGCAUUGUAUUGUCAAAAACAGCCCAUAUUAAUGUAGUAGAAGCAUUCUACUGUCCAAUAGAUAACUAAAAGUGUACAUUUUAACAAUUUUGUAAAACUGCUUUAUUUUGGGGCCAAAAAGGGGUCUUACUGGACCUACUCCUUU
RNAcentral lists this long non-coding RNA (221 nucleotides) under Mytilus galloprovincialis (Mediterranean mussel). Lineage: Eukaryota; Metazoa; Mollusca; Bivalvia; Mytilida; Mytilidae. The record is from RNAcentral.